Molecule: transfer RNA, 77 nt
Filed under: Rhizoctonia solani
Lineage: Eukaryota; Fungi; Basidiomycota; Agaricomycetes; Cantharellales; Ceratobasidiaceae
Description: tRNA-Arg
Rfam family: tRNA
About the family: Transfer RNA (tRNA) molecules are approximately 80 nucleotides in length.
Source: RNAcentral
GGGCGCGUAGUGGAGUGGUUACCACGUUGGUCUUCGAUUCGAACCAAAGUUCAUCAGUUCGAUCCUGGUCGUGCUCA